Molecule: long non-coding RNA, 2465 nt
Organism: Coffea eugenioides
Lineage: Eukaryota; Viridiplantae; Streptophyta; Magnoliopsida; Gentianales; Rubiaceae
Exons: 9
Source: RefSeq, a predicted model, not a curated record
CUUCCUUCUUUCCCCUUUCCUCUCCCUUGCCCUAUCUGUAUCCCUCCAUUACUCCCUUUCCUCCUUCCCUUACUGUAUCAUCAGAAGAUUUUAGAAACCUUUCUCUUCAGCAUCAUUCCCAUUUGCAGAUGCCAUUUCGGCUUUCCUCUCAUCAAGAAUUCGUUGCAUAACUCUGAUUUGUUUUUCCUUCUCUGCUCGUUUUCCAGCAGUUUCUCCUCAGAGUUUCUCAUUCCUCUUUUGCUUGUAGUGGUCAUCUGUUCGCUUGGCAAGUUCUGGCUUUUUUCUAUUGGCAGAUGACCAGUGGGAUGCUGCUCGUGGAUUUCUCAGUAUCUGAUCUCAUCAAUUUUUUGGGUUUUCUUUUAUAGUGGUGCUGCAAUUGGACAUUUCUUUGGUUCUUUUCCCUUACACGUUUGUCUCAUCAAUUUAUUGGAAAUGGUUCAGGUUAAGUAGGGAAACCAUAAGAAGAAUCAGCAGCGAUGGCGGUGCCUUUGCUUUCGAAGAAGACAGUGAAGAAAAGGGUCAAGAAGUUCAAGCAACUCCAGACAGAGUGCAAAAUUGUAACCUUUGUCUAUACUGCUUACAGCAAAUGACAUUCUUAAACCUACUAAUGUCUCUGCCGGAUUCACCUUAUCUGACAGCAACUCAAACACCCGUGUCCAACUUGCUAAGAAAGCGGAAAAGGGGAAUACAGGAAGUGUCAUGAGUCUUCCCAAGCAUAGUAGGAAGGUCACUCAUCAUGAAUAUGAAGUCGAAACAGCGAAUGGAAGAACAAUUACAAAAAAAGGAAAACCAAAAGUACUGUAAUGUUUGCGGACCCAAGCAGACAUAAAAAGCUAGAGACACCAAAAACUGUUACACCUAGAGCUGUUACUAAGGGAACAAAGGGACAAGUUCAUACAAAUUCAUCUAAUAUAGGUGAUCUGUUUUCAGAAGGAUCUCUGAAUCCUUAUGCAGAUGAUCCCUAUGCAUUUGAUUAGAGUAUGAAGUGUUUGGGUCGACCGUGAAGAAGCCAGUGCAAAAAAAAAAGGAUUUGUCUACAAAAAAGGUUGCUUCUACCCACUGAUUAUUCUAUAAGAUUUAUUGCAUGCAUUGUUUUCUAUGUCCUGAGCUACAUUAGACGAGGAAACUUUUUUAAACGUUUAGCUUGUUCAAUAUUGAUCAGGUAUAAUGCUAUGAGAUCAUUUUGGUAAAUCUGCAGUCUGGCAUGACUACUGAAUGUUCAGUUGUUCUUGAUAUUGCUAAGGAGCUGUUUCUCUUAGUUAAGUUGUUUGUAGUAUCAAAUCACUGCUGCAACUGGAUUUUGGCAGGAACUGUAUCAUGCAAUAGAAGGCUUUGCAAAUGGAAGAUGAAACUUUUUAAUUCUAGACAUUUUAGCACACAAAAAAUGUACAUUGCAACUGUAAUAAUGUUCCUUCAUUGAUAAACAAGAAUUAAACGUUUGCAUGUGUCUGAAAUGCGAAAUUGCCUGUUUUCGUGGCUCCAAAACUCUUUUCUGGAAGUUUGAUUGCUACAAUAACACAGAGCUCUUGUUAAAGAUGUAUGGCCAAUAUUGCAUUCCCCUCUGCAUCUUGAUUUUUUGUGAAAAGAAAUUAUGUUUCUUGAUUUUUCGUGUCACUUUUGUUUGUGCCUCCAAUUUUUUACCCCAACGGUGUCGUGCCACGUGAGAAAACUAAAAUCAAUUGAGGGUGUCUUGUCAACAUAUAAGACUAUUUGUUUACCUUGCUUGAGGUCAGGGAAUGUAUGAUUUCCCUAGGUGCAUCGUGGAUUUGUUAUUAGUUAUUAGUUUUUAAAAACCCUAUGUAUUCCUUGGUUUCCUUUUUUUUGGUGGUUAAUGUUAUUUUUGUUAUAGAGCAUGGUUCCGGCUCACUUUUCAUGAUGAUACUGGGUGUGUAAAUGUUAUUGCAUUAGAUGUCGAAGCUGAGAAGCUGAUUGGUGUUAGCGUGCUUGACAUGUUUGAGGCUGCUGACGAUGAGGUUAUGUGUUGCUCUAUUCUCAUGCAUAGAUAGCUGAACUUGGAGAUUGUUCAACUAUGUAGCCAGACCUUUAAGUUGUACCAUCGUGUGGCUUGUCGAAUUGAACUGACCAGGCUCCUAUGCUAUUUUAAGCGUUCAUCCGAUGUGAUCAACAAAGUGACGUGCACUAAAUACGCUGUUGUUGCUUGCUACCCAGUUUAGAGAGGUUGUUUUUUUGGAUGCUUGUUUCUUGUGCUAUCUUGUCAGCUCAUGAACUUCUUUGAGCUUGUAGUGGCGUCGGUAUUAGUUUUGAGGCUUAUAUGCUAUUGAUACUAAUAGCAUUUAGUGGUUCUGUUCUUUUUAAAAAAUUUUCUUUGGGAUGCUCUGUUAUGCUGCCAGCUCAGAGCCUUUCUUCUUGGGCUGAGCUCUUAGGCAGCAGUAGUAUUUGGAAUAGUGAUAUGUAGACUAUAGACCACAUGUUUGUUACAUAGACGAUUCAUUUAUUAGAUAAUU